This 253-nucleotide ribosomal RNA is filed under the name uncultured bacterium. RNAcentral describes it as "partial 16S ribosomal RNA". It matches the Rfam family "Bacterial small subunit ribosomal RNA", at positions 524 to 776 of the family's 1533-position model. The record is from RNAcentral.
UACGGAGGGUGCAAACGUUGCUCGGAAUCAUUGGGCGUAAAGCGCACGUAGGCGGUUCAGUAUGUCGGGUGUGAAAGCCCUCGGCUUAACCGAGGAAGUGCAUUCGAAACUGCUGGACUUGAAUACUGGAGAGGAUCGCGGAAUUCCCGGUGUAGCGGUGAAAUGCGCAGAUAUCGGGAGGAACACCUAUGGCGAAGGCAGCUUGCUGGGACGGCACUGACGCUGAGACGCGAAAGCGUGGGGAGCAAACAGG